GCCACAGUGGUCUAGCAGUCAGAACACUAGCCUUGUAAGCCUGGGGUCCCGGGUUCAAUUCCCGGUGGUGCUC
Non-coding RNA from Zootermopsis nevadensis, 73 nucleotides. The record is from Rfam. NCBI's taxonomy places the organism in Eukaryota, Metazoa, Arthropoda, Insecta, Blattodea, Termopsidae.